CCGCCGUUUAAUCCUACUUGUGCGCGUUUCGCGGCUUCCGCGUAUUCGCGUACAAUGGGCCGGCACGUUUACUUUGAACAAAUUAGAGUGCUCAAAGCAGGCUCAAACGUGGCCGGGUGUUCGCGUCAGCGGGCAUCUGGUCGUAUAGCCCUGAAUAUGGUCGCAUGGAAUAAUGGAACAAGACCUCGAUCUCGCCUCUACGCUGCUUGCAGCGCGUGACCGUAGCCCAUGUGGCUCGAUCCGUGCGCAGGUCGCCGUCUGAAGUCACGCGUUCGCGUCCGUCCCAUCGCGGUCGGGUUACGCAACGUCGUGGUAAACUUCAUUCGUUGGCCGGUUUUCGAGAUCCGAGGUAAUGAUCAACAGAGAUAGGCGUGGGCAUUCGUACCGCGACGUUAGAGGUGAAAUUCUUGGAUCGUCGCGAGACGAACCGAAGCGAAAGCAUUUGCCAAGUAUAUUCUCGUCUGAUCAAGAACGAAAGUUAGAGGUUCGAAGGCGAUCAGAUACCGCCCUAGUUCUAACCGUAAACGAUGCCAGCUAGCGAUCCGCUGAUGUUCCUCCGAUGACUCAGCGGGCAGCUUCCGGGAAACCGAAGCUUUUCGGUUCCGGGGGAAGUAUGGUUGCAAAGCUGAAACUUAAAGGAAUUGACGGAAGGGCACCACCAGGAGUGGAGCCUGCGGCUUAAUUUGACUCAACACGGGAAACCUCACCAGGCCCGGACACCGGAAAGAUUGACAGAUUGAGAGCUCUUUCUUGAUUCGGUGGGUGGUGGUGCAUGGCCGUUCUUAGUUGGUGGAGCGAUCUGUCUGGUUAAUUCCGAUAACGAACGAGACUCUGUCCUGCUAAAUAGGCGGGUUUUUCGUCGCCUGCCGGUUUGGUGCGCGGUUCUGCCGUGUGCCGGCCGGCAGUCACCGACGGAACGAUAUCCUCGAAAGCGGUCGGCUGUCGUAAGUGGCGUUGGCGUUGUUGCGGUGGUUUGCUUCGGUAGAUUGCUGCGGCAGUCGCCUGCGUUACCCGACAGUUUUGCUGCCAAUGGGCUAUCGCCGGCUGAUAAAGCUUAAACUCUUCUUAGAGGGACAGGCGGCGGACAAAACUAGCCGCACGAGACUGAGCGAUAACAGGUCUGUGAUGCCCUUAGAUGUUCUGGGCCGCACGCGCGCUACACUGAAGGAAUCAGCGUGUAAUUAUUUCCUGGGCUGAGAAGCAUUACCAGGUAAUCCGCUGAACCUCCUUCGUGAUAGGGAUCGGGGCUUGCAAUUGUUCCCCGUGAACGAGGAAUUCCCAGUAAGCGCGAGUCAUCAGCUCGCGUUGAUUACGUCCCUGCCCUUUGUACACACCGCCCGUCGCUACUACCGAUUGAACGACCGCAGUGAGGUCUUCGGAUCGAGGUACGGCGACGUUCGCGUCGAUUUGUACAUUCGAGAAGAUGACCGAACUCGGCCGUUUAGAGGAAGUAAAAGUCGUAACAAGGUUUCCGUAGGUGAACCUGCGGAAG
This 1492-nucleotide ribosomal RNA is filed under the name Trionymus perrisii. RNAcentral describes it as "SSU rRNA". It matches the Rfam family "Eukaryotic small subunit ribosomal RNA", at positions 684 to 1823 of the family's 1831-position model. The record is from RNAcentral. Lineage: Eukaryota; Metazoa; Arthropoda; Insecta; Hemiptera; Pseudococcidae.